This 253-nucleotide ribosomal RNA is filed under the name uncultured bacterium. Its description in RNAcentral is "partial 16S ribosomal RNA". It matches the Rfam family "Bacterial small subunit ribosomal RNA", at positions 524 to 776 of the family's 1533-position model. The record is from RNAcentral.
UACGUAGGGAGCAAGCGUUGUCCGGAAUCAUUGGGCGUAAAGCGCGCGUAGGUGGCCUCGUAAGUCCGCUGUGAAAGUCAAAGGCUCAACCUUUGAAAGCCGGUGGAUACUGUGAGGCUAGAGUACGGAAGAGGCGAGUGGAAUUCCUGGUGUAGCGGUGGAAUGCGCAGAUAUCAGGAGGAACACCAAUGGCGAAGGCAGCUCGCUGGGACGUGACUGACGCUGAGACGCGAAAGCGUGGGGAGCAAACAGG